Molecule: ribosomal RNA, 301 nt
Filed under: uncultured bacterium
Lineage: Bacteria
Description: partial 16S ribosomal RNA
Rfam family: Bacterial small subunit ribosomal RNA
Source: RNAcentral
CAGUAGCCGCGGUAAUACGAAGGGUGCAAGCGUUACUCGGAAUUACUGGGCGUAAAGCGUGCGUAGGUGGUGGUUUAAGUCCGUUGUGAAAUCCCCGGGCUCAACCUGGGAACUGCAUUUGUGACUGGCAAGCUAGAGUGUGGCAGAGGGGGGUGGAAUUCCGCGUGUAGCAGUGAAAUGCGCAGAUAUGCGGAGGAACACCGAUGGCGAAGGCAGCCCCCUGGGCCAACACUGACGCUCAUGCACGAAAGCGUGGGGAGCAAACAGGAUUAGAUACCCCAGUAGUCCCUGUCUCUUAUAC